Long non-coding RNA from Ipomoea triloba (trilobed morning glory), 687 nucleotides. RefSeq lists it as uncharacterized. The transcript is spliced from 2 exons. The record is from RefSeq and is a predicted model, not a curated record. Lineage: Eukaryota; Viridiplantae; Streptophyta; Magnoliopsida; Solanales; Convolvulaceae.
UUAUACUUUAUAGAUUAGGGUUUUUUUUUUUUUCUUUCUUUUUCUUUUUGCUACUGAUGUAUGGAUUAUGGAAUUACAAGGGCAUGCUUGUAAUUUUGCCGUGCACCUCUAGCAGUUGAAGCUGCCAGCAUGAUCUAAACUUGCCUCCUUUUUUUGGGUUGAGGAAAGAUCAGAUCAUGUGGCAGCUUCACCUGUUGGUUGGCUGCACGAAAAAACCUUAAUUUCUCACAAACCCUACUUGCCCACAUAAUUUUGUUCCUAACCAUGAAAAGGAGAACAGAUUCCUGUUACAUAUAUCUUAAACAUCAGAUGAGAGACAAAGAUGUGAUUUUUGGCACAAGUACUUGUUGGGCUCACUUCUGUCACAUGAAUUUCGAUUCUCAGUUUUGGGAUAAUGUUUUUUAUUUUAAUUAAUUUCUUGUAAUCUCUGGGAAAUUACACCAGCUUAGCUUGAUGAUGUAUAUAUGCAAUUAAUGUUGUCAAAAACUUAGCAUUUAAAAUGGUUGUGCAGAACAACAAAUGCAUAUAUAAUGCAUGUGAAGUCCCUGUAGAUCAGGCAACUUCUUUGUUUUGAUUUGAACUUCAAUUAAUAACUAGAUGUUUGUGUACAAAAGUAUUAGAAUAGGAUUAUCUGUUAGUUCUUAUAUAUAGUUUGAAUAAUAUUAUGUUUUUUUCCCCCUUGUGAAA